GGAAAAAAAAAGACUGCUUCUUUCCUCUCCAUCAUUUCUUCUCUCCCCUCCCUAGCCCCCUUCUUCUUCCCCAGAACACUUAGUGACAAAGAAAAGCAGCCCAGAAUCUGCUAAAGUUGGAUGUCGUUAGGCCAGGCCACAGGAUGGUGCUAGAUGAGAGGAUGAGGGCAGGGAGUGUUGCCUAAGCUCUCAGCAUCAGAGCUGAACAAAGCUCCCUGCGGGAAAGCGGAGUACUUGCUGGCCUCAUGCUGCCACCCUGCCUAGUCUUUCUCCCACUGCUCUCUCAGAGAUGGGUAAGAAAGAACUGAUCGGGGGCAAUGAGGUGUCCUUGUGCAGAAAAAAAGAGGGGACCUGGCCAAAUAGGGAAGAGAUAUACAGUGCAUUGGCUAUUCCCUUCCCUGACCAGGGGUGCACCUUCUCCCAACUUGACCACAACACAGGGAGAUUUCAAGGCAGUGUACCCUUUCCCAGACUCAGUUUCCCCUUUAGAGAGGAGCGGGGAAGGAGAUGGGUAGUAAUUGUUUAUUUUUUCCCUCUUUUCUUUUUCUCCUCCACUUACCCCUUUUCUUCUCUCUUUUCCCAUAAAUUUCAGGGAGCCCCUCACUUUCCCAUACCAACAGACCUCGACUUUCCUUUCAGCUGGAUUCAGAGCAUGGUCUCAUGCUGGUUGGAGGACCUGGAGACCCACAAGUGCAACCAGAGGACCGACACUAUUGACUUCCUAUGGCCCUGGGCCCAGACUGGCUUCAGUGCUGAGGACCGGGAAGAGCUGCAGACAAACUUACAGGUGUGAGAGCCCUAGAAUCCCAGGAAUUCAACACUAUUUAACACAAGAGUCUUAGGAUUUGCCUAAUGUGAGCAAUAGGUUCUGACAAGAUGGUGGGCUCCUCUAAGAAGCUUGUCUAAUGAAGUAAAAAGAAAAGAAAAUUGAGGUAAAUUUCAUGUUCCUAGCUUAAGCUUCUUUUUCCCAUAUCCAUACCAGCUAUUCUGCAGAGCAAUUUGGAAGUAUUACAGAAAGUAAAAAAAUAUAUAUAUAUAUAUACCUCAGAUCCUCCCCUUUAGGAACCCUUUUAUGCUCCAAGGACUGGCAUUGCAAGGCUGCCACACCUAGAAGUUUGCUACCAAUAGCCCCUCCUUCCCCUACACCUGUUGGAACUCCAGAACAAAGCAAAGUGGUUCCACUUCUUAGGACCUUGUUACUCCCCAUGCUAUGACCUGACAAGUCCAUGACUAUACAAAUCUGCUCCACUCCUCAGUGUUUGUCCUUGGCAUGUUCCGAUGCCCCUACACUUGCCUGUCAUGUUUGUAUUCAUAACCAAUAGAAACCCCUGAUUGUGUAUGGGUCAUGUAACCUAUGGAAACCCUCCCCCACUGAUGGUGUAUAAAAUAGCAAGAGCUCCUGGCCUCAGGGCCCAGCCCUUGGAGGAAUGAUCCUGGCUGAGUCUGCAUGCACAUGCAUAAUAAAUCUCCUUCUUUCCUUCCUUCCUUCUUUUGA
This 1495-nucleotide long non-coding RNA is filed under the name Monodelphis domestica (gray short-tailed opossum). Its description in RNAcentral is "lncRNA (ENSMODG00000033225.2)". Lineage: Eukaryota; Metazoa; Chordata; Mammalia; Didelphimorphia; Didelphidae. The record is from RNAcentral.